Molecule: ribosomal RNA, 1559 nt
Filed under: Escherichia coli
Lineage: Bacteria; Pseudomonadati; Pseudomonadota; Gammaproteobacteria; Enterobacterales; Enterobacteriaceae
Description: bacterial SSU rRNA
Rfam family: Bacterial small subunit ribosomal RNA
Source: RNAcentral
UGAGUUUGAUCAUGCGGCUCGAUUUCGAACGCUGGCGCAGGCUCCAACACACGCAAGUCGAACGGUAACAGGAAGAAGCUUCUGCUUCUUUGCUGGGACGAGUGGCGGACGGGUGAGUAAUGUCUGGGAAACUGCCUGAUGGAGGGGGAUAACUACUGGAAACGGUAGCUAAUACCGCAUAACGUCGCAAGACCAAAAGAGGGGGGACCUUCGGCCUUCUUGGUUACCUGGAUGCCCAGAUGGAUUAGCUAGUAGGUGGGUAACGGUUCACCUAGGCGACGAUCCCUAGCUGGUCUGAGAGGGAUGACCAGCCACACUGGAACUGAGACACGGUCCAGACUCCUACGGGAGGCAGCAGUGGGGAAUAUUACACAAUGGGCGCAAGCCUGAUGCAGCCAUGCUGCGUGUAUGAAGAAGCGCCUGGUUGUAAAGUACCUUCAGCGGGAGGAAGGGAGUAAAGUUAUCACCUCUUUGCUCAUUGACGUUACCCGCAGAAGAAGCACCUACUAAACCUCGCGCCAGCAGCCGCGGUAAUACGGAGGGUGCAAGCGUUAAUCGGAAUUACUGGGCGUAAAAGCGCACGCAGGCGGUUUGUUAAGUCAGAUGUGAAAUCCCCCGGGUUCAACCCUGAACUACCUGAUACUGGUGCUCUUGAGCCCUGUAGAGGGGGUAGGACCCGUGUAGCGGUGAAAUGCGUAGAGAUCUGAGGAAUACCGGCGGCGAAGGCGGCCCCGGACGAAGACCGACGCUCAGGUGCGAAAGCGUGGGAGCAAACAGGAUUAGAUACCCCGGUAGUCCACGCCGUAAAACGUGAUGUCGACUUUGCGUCGAGUCUUGGAGGCGUGGCUUCCGGAGCUAACGUAACGCGUUAAGUCAGAUCGCCCGGGGGAGCAAUGCAAUGCAAGCGUUAAAACUCAAAAUGAAUUGACGGGGCCCACACAAGCGGUGUGGAGCAUGUGGUUUAAUUCGAUGCAACGCGAAGAACCUUACCUGGUCUUGACAUCCACAGAACUUUCCAGAGAUGGAUUGGUGCCUUCGGGAACUGUGAGACAGGUGCUGCAUGGCUGUCGUCAGCUCGUGUUGUGAAAUGUUAAGUUGCUUCCGCAACGAGCGCAACCUUAUCCCUUUGUUGCCAGCGGUCCGGCCGGGAACUCAAAGGGAGACCGCCGCGAUAAACUGGAGGAAGGUGGGGAUGACGUCAAGUCAUCAUGGCCCCUACGACCGUGGCUACACGUGCUACAAUGGCGCAUGCACAAAGAGAAGCGACCUCGCGCGAGCAAGCGGACCUCAUAAAGUGCGUCGUAGUCCGGAUUGGAGUCUGCAACUCGACUCCAUGAAGUCGGAAUCGCUAGUAAUCGUGGAUCAGAAUGCCACGGUGAAUACGUUCCCGGGCCUUGUACACACCGCCCGUCACACCAUGGGAGUGGGUUGCAAAAGAAGUAGGUAGCUUAACCUUCGGGAGGGCGCUUACCACUUUGUGAUUCAUGACUGGGGUGAAGUCGUAACAAGGUAACCGUAGGGGAACCUGCGGUUGGAUCACCUCCUUACCUUAAAGAAGC